ACGGGUGAGUAAUAUAUCGGAACGUGCCCAGUAGUGGGGGAUAGCCCGGCGAAAGCCGGAUUAAUACCGCAUACGACCUACGGGUGAAAGCGGGGGAUCGCAAGACCUCGCGCUAUUGGAGCGGCCGAUAUCAGAUUAGCUAGUUGGUAGGGUAAAAGCCUACCAAGGCGACGAUCUGUAGCUGGUCUGAGAGGACGACCAGCCACACUGGGACUGAGACACGGCCCAGACUCCUACGGGAGGCAGCAGUGGGGAAUUUUGGACAAUGGACGCAAGUCAGAUCCAGCCAUGCCGCGUGCGGGAAGAAGGCCUUCGGGUUGUAAACCGCUUUUGUCAGGGAAGAAAAGCUUCGAGCUAAUAUCUUGGAGUGAUGACGGUACCUGAAGAAUAAGCACCGGCUAACUACGUGCCAGCAGCCGCGGUAAUACGUAGGGUGCAAGCGUUAAUCGGAAUUACUGGGCGUAAAGCGUGCGCAGGCGGUUCUAUAAGACAGAUGUGAAAUCCCCGGGCUCAACCUGGGAACUGCAUUUGUGACUGUAGAGCUGGAGUACGGCAGAGGGGGAUGGAAUUCCGCGUGUAGCAGUGAAAUG
RNAcentral lists this ribosomal RNA (590 nucleotides) under uncultured Pseudomonadota bacterium. Its description in RNAcentral is "bacterial SSU rRNA". It matches the Rfam family "Bacterial small subunit ribosomal RNA", at positions 102 to 688 of the family's 1533-position model. The record is from RNAcentral. Lineage: Bacteria; Pseudomonadati; Pseudomonadota.